CUCGUAGGCGGUUUGUCGCGUCUGCUGUGAAAACCCGAGGCUCAACCUCGGGCCUGCAGUGGGUACGGGCAAGCUAGAGUGCGGUAGGAGAGAUUGGAAUUCCUGGUGUAGCGGUGGAAUGCGCAGAUAUCAGGAGGAACACCAAUGGCGAAGGCAGAUCUCUGGGCCGUUACUGACGCUGAGGAGCGAAAGCGUGGGGAGCGAACA
RNAcentral lists this ribosomal RNA (207 nucleotides) under uncultured bacterium. RNAcentral's name for it is "partial 16S ribosomal RNA". It matches the Rfam family "Bacterial small subunit ribosomal RNA", at positions 568 to 774 of the family's 1533-position model. The record is from RNAcentral.